UCCGUAGGUGAACCUGCGGAAGGAUCAUUACUUGCGGUAGUUUACUACUGUUUGAAGGGGGCGGAAACUUCUCAGGUCUCCCUGGGAAGAAGUAUGCUUCUUUUCUCAACCCUUGACUUUUUGCGUACUCAUGUUUCCUCGGUGGGCUUGCCCACCGGUUGGACUAUUCUAUAACCUUUUUAAUUUUCAAUCAGCGUCUGAAUUAUCAUAAUAAUUACAACUUUCAACAACGGAUCUCUUGGUUCUGGCAUCGAUGAAGAACGCAGCGAAAUGCGAUAAGUAGUGUGAAUUGCAGAAUUCAGUGAAUCAUCGAAUCUUUGAACGCACCUUGCGCUCCUUGGUAUUCCGAGGAGCAUGCCUGUUUGAGUGUCAUUAAAUUCUCAACCUCACCCAUUUUGUCAUGAGAUGGCUUGUGUAGGCUUGGAUGUGGAGGCUUUGCAGGUCCGCUCUUUUGUGGUCUGCUCCUCUGAAAUGCAUUAGUGGGUUUCGCCCCCUAAAUCUAUUGGUGUGAUAAUUAUCUAUGCCGUUGAUCUAGGUUUGGCAAUACAAAGGAACCUGGCUGGACAACCGGUCCGGUCUCGGGACAACUUGACAUUUUGGACCUCAAAUCAGGGGUAAGGACUACCCGGGCUGAACUUAAGCAUAUCAAUAAGCGGA
RNAcentral lists this ribosomal RNA (657 nucleotides) under uncultured fungus. RNAcentral describes it as "eukaryotic LSU rRNA". The stretch from base 219 to 372 matches the Rfam family "5.8S ribosomal RNA". Lineage: Eukaryota; Fungi. The record is from RNAcentral.